AUGUCACGAAUAUGUCUUUGAUCUUAUCAAUUAUAUUUUUUAUCUAAUUUAAUUAGAUUUGAUGCAUCACAUACAUCAUAUCAAAUCUAAAACACAUCUUAUACUAAUUAUAAAAUAUCAAUUUCAGAUUUGAUAUCAUAUAGAAAAUUAAUUAGAUACAAACAUGAAUGCAUAAGGAAUAAAUUUUUAAUAAAAUCUAUUUUGGUGUAGUGCUGAUUCUUGAUAGAAUUUAGAUCUAAAUAUCCAUCAAAAUGAAUCCAAUU
Molecule: long non-coding RNA, 263 nt
Filed under: Elaeis guineensis (African oil palm)
Lineage: Eukaryota; Viridiplantae; Streptophyta; Magnoliopsida; Arecales; Arecaceae
Description: long non-coding RNA (EGUI_LNC080642)
Source: RNAcentral